Molecule: ribosomal RNA, 440 nt
Filed under: uncultured bacterium
Lineage: Bacteria
Description: partial 16S ribosomal RNA
Rfam family: Bacterial small subunit ribosomal RNA
Source: RNAcentral
CCUACGGGUGGCAGCAGUGGGGAAUAGUGCACAAUGGGGGGAACCCGGAUGCAGCGACGCCGCGGGGGUGAGGAAGUACUUCGGUAUGGAAAGCCCUAUCAGCAGGGAAGAAAAUGACGGUACCUGACUAAGAAGCCCCGGCUAACUACGUGCCAGCAGCAGCGGUACUACGUAGGGGGCAAGCGUUAUCCGGAUUUACUGGGUGGAAAGGGAGCGUAGACGGCGUGCCAGGUCUGAUGUGAAAGGCGGGGGCUCAACCCCGGGACUGCAGUGGAAACUGGCAUGCUGGAGUGCCGGAGGGUCAAGCGGAAUUCCUAGUGUAGCGGUGAAAUGCGUAGAUAUUAGGAGGAACACCGGUGGCGAAGGCGGCUUGCUGGACGGUAACUGACGUUGAGGCUCGAAAGCGUGGGGAGCAAACAGGAUUAGAUACCCUUGUAGUC